ACUUCCAAACCUUAUUGCUGGAUCUAUAACAAAAGAAAGUGUAGACAAUGCUUUUGAGAAGGGAAUUACUUCUGAACAGUGUUGGUUGAAGAAACAAAAGGAUGUCCUAUUUCCUGCUUUACAAGAGACUGGGGAAAAUGUUAUCUGGACUUCUAGGCUUAUUUUUGGAAAAGGAGAGAAUAUCAAUUUCGGGUACUAUUUGCUGCCCUGAUUUAUGUUAAUAGCGGAGCUUAAGAUAUGCAGAGGACUUUCAGUUAUUGAAGGGAAAAACAGCGAAAUUAGAAGAACAAUAUGGACAUCCCAAGAAUAGCUUCCUUCGGAGUCGCCAUCCAUCCAGAGCCUUUUCUAGUGCUGAAGGCAGAACAAAUUAGAGGGGAUAUAAAGACUUAAAUAGGAGAAUGCGGUCAAGAUGUCUUUGAUAUAUGAAUCUUUUAGAACAGACUUGUACAUGUGAAUUGAUCAUAUUUUGAUGGUUGUGAAUUGAUCAUAUUUUGAUGGGUUGAAGUUGUCUUGUAACUACUUAUUUUUGAAUG
Molecule: long non-coding RNA, 533 nt
Organism: Asparagus officinalis (garden asparagus)
Lineage: Eukaryota; Viridiplantae; Streptophyta; Magnoliopsida; Asparagales; Asparagaceae
Exons: 5
Source: RefSeq, a predicted model, not a curated record